AAUUCUUAUAAGUCAAAACAAAAAUAAUCAAAACUUUUAACAAUGGAUCUCUUGGUUCUCGUAUCGAUGAAGAACGCAGCGAAACGCGAUAUUUCUUGUGAAUUGCAGAAGUGAAUCAUCAGUUUUUGAACGCACAUUGCACUUUGGGGUAUCCCCCAAAGUAUACUUGUUUGAGCGUUGUUUCUCUCUUGGAAUUGCAUUGCUUUUCUAAAAAUUCGAAUCAAAUUCGUUUGAAAAACAACACUAUUCAACCUCAGAUCAAGUAGGAUUACCCGCUGAACUUAAGCAUAUCAAUAAGCGGAGGAAAAGGAUCAUUAAGAAUUAUAAAUAUUUGUGAAAUUUACACAGCAAACAAUAAUUUUAUAGUCAAAACAAAAAUAAUCAAAACUUUUAACAAUGGAUCUCUUGGUUCUCGUAUCGAUGAAGAACGCAGCGAAACGCGAUAUUUCUUGUGAAUUGCAGAAGUGAAUCAUCAGUUUUUGAACGCACAUUGCACUUUGGGGUAUCCCCCAAAGUAUACUUGUUUGAGCGUUGUUUCUCUCUUGGAAUUGCAUUGCUUUUCUAAAAUAUCGAAUCAAAUUCGUUUGA
RNAcentral lists this ribosomal RNA (588 nucleotides) under Geotrichum candidum. RNAcentral describes it as "eukaryotic LSU rRNA". The stretch from base 32 to 180 matches the Rfam family "5.8S ribosomal RNA". Lineage: Eukaryota; Fungi; Ascomycota; Dipodascomycetes; Dipodascales; Dipodascaceae. The record is from RNAcentral.